GGAUGUGAGGGCGAUCUGGCUGCGACAUCUGUCACCCCAUUGAUCGCCAGGGUUGAUUCGGCUGAUCUGGCUGGCUAGGCGGGUGUCCCCUUCCUCCCUCACCGCUCCAUGUGCGUCCCUCCCGAAGCUGCGCGCUCGGUCGAAGAGGACGACCUUCCCCGAUAGAGGAGGACCGUUCUUCGGUCAAGGGUAUACGAGUAGCUGCGCUCCCCUGCUAGAACCUCCAAACAAGCUCUCAAAAAACUACAAAUUAGAGUAAAAUGUAUAUGCAUUUGUGUAUUUUUAAACUGCUUUGCAU
This 298-nucleotide small nuclear RNA is filed under the name Marmota monax (woodchuck). It matches the Rfam family "7SK RNA". From Rfam's summary of the family: 7SK was discovered as an abundant small nuclear RNA in the mid-70s but a possible function has only recently been suggested. Two independent studies have found that 7SK RNA binds the CDK9/cyclin T complex (known as elongation factor P-TEFb). Lineage: Eukaryota; Metazoa; Chordata; Mammalia; Rodentia; Sciuridae. The record is from RNAcentral.